Molecule: long non-coding RNA, 2292 nt
Filed under: Brachypodium distachyon (stiff brome)
Lineage: Eukaryota; Viridiplantae; Streptophyta; Magnoliopsida; Poales; Poaceae
Description: long non-coding RNA (BDIS_LNC000680)
Source: RNAcentral
GAGGGACCGAAAAUAUACUUUUAUCUUGCCCAAAAUACAUCCUAAGGUGUCUGUUACAUCACAAUUUUAUUGUUUUGAAAAAUAACAAACAUAGUUUAUUCAUCCAUGUACUUCUCUUUACUUUGUGCUAUUUCUCUCAACUCGUUGUCAUGUACUUUGCUCUGACAAUGAGUGAACUGGCCUCUCACAGAACGGUGAACUUAAAGAAAUCGAUCUUUAUCGAUAAGGAUUAUGUCCUUUCUGCAUGCACGCGCUAGACUUGAUGCAUCGAUCGAUCGAUCGAUUGAUUCUUCCGUUUUUUAUUAAAAACUAAGGGUCUAGCUGUAGAUCAGUCCACUGAGAAACAUCGACAAGGCUGUACGUAGCAGAAGUCCCUGGUCUUCCUUUUUUUUUAUUUUGAGCGAACAGAAGUCCCCGAUCGAUCCUUCCCUCGUCGUUUGUAGUUCGGUUUUUUUCCCCUAUUUCGGUUACGUCGGAGCACGGUAGGAUGCCGGACACACCUUUUUUUUUUUCAGUGGAGGACGAGGUGAUCGCUCCGGCGAUCGUCGGCGUGGCGAUAGACACAAAGUGUAGACACAAAAGUUUACUCAGGUUCGGACCAUCCGGAGGUGUAAUACCCUACGUCCUGUUUUGAGUUGUAUUUACGAGUUUGAGUGCGUACAGAUCACUCGAGAGGUUCCCGGGUAAGGGUCCUGACUUCGCUCUCAAGGAAGUCACUAGUGGAGCUCACUUCACCUUUGUGGUGUUGAGAGAAGAGAAUGGGGUGAUCCUUUGUGACGUCUCUAUCUUUGUGGCAGAGUGCUCCUCCAAACGGAGACAUACAACUACCCAAUCGGUAGUACUCUAGUGAAAUUCUUCGUCUCUCAUGUGUUAUCAUUUUCACCAUUUACAUUAUUGCUAUUUAUUGUUACUUCGGCUAUUUCACUUCGUACUAGGGUUGCAUUCACUUUAGAGAAUUUAGUAAAUCCUAGAAUUAAGUGAUUGUAUCUUCUAGAAAAGAAAACGAAAAAAAUAAAAUUUGGUAUUCGCCUGUUCAGCCCCCAAUCUUUCAUUAACUCACUAGUAUUGGGUCUUGGUCCACCCUGCACUUAUUUCAUACUUGUCCCUUUUAGGGGAGCUCUCCAGCUGGUUGCAAACUGCAACCAAACAACCAUCUUGCUCCCACUGGCUCUUGCUCAAGUAGGCUAGUUAAAGUCAGCCUGACAAAGCUAGAUCAACUACUAAUCCAAACGUUCCCUAUUGUCUCGCAAGAAAGGCCGUCAGUCUAGCGAUAGAAACACCAAAAUCAUCACGCAAUCAUUGUAGCCAGACCUCUACUGUCAAAAUGUUUUUUUUUCUGGUUCUUGUUUUUUCUAAAGUUUUUGAAAACAAAAAGAAAGUUUUUUUGGGUCUUGCUUUUUAAAAAGACUUUUUUGAAAACACCAAAAAAUGUACUAUUAUUUUUCUUUGGCUUUUCCUUUUGUUAUUUUUUGUUUUCAACAAAAAAAAUAUACAAAAUAGUUUUUUUUCAUCUUUCAUUUUCGAUUUAGUUUUCUAAGACAAAUGAGAACUCACUAAAAAAAGACAAAAAAUAUAUCAAGUGUGGUGAGAGAAAUCAUCUACAAAGAUAACCUCGUAGCGAGUAACCACUAACCGAUGGAAACAAAUUAGGGCCUCCUUUGCUCGCUAAUCUUUUCCAAGUGUAAAUGGAUGAAACCGGGUAAGGAUAAGACUGACACAACAUUGUUUUUGGAUUGGUAAAGAGUUUUCUUGACUCUGAUUUUAACCAUGGUAAUUGGCUAGAAAACAACCAUCGAGAAGAGAUCUUAGUUUGUAGUUGUUGAACCAUAUUAUAUUGAACUUAUUUUACAAUAUGCUAUGCAAUAUGCGAAUUGAACAAUGACUCAUUGGUGGCUUGUUUUGGGCACUUUUGGGCCUUUUGGCAGACGGGAUUUAGUUCAGUAGUUUGAUUGAUGCAAAAAGAUUUAACAACGCUACACGCUAUGACGUUUCGGAUCGAAUAGUGUCGUACGAUAAAAAUUGCUUAACAUAGCGUGGGUUCUUUGAGGAUCUGAACAGGAAACCUUGACUUUUGCCUGCAUAUACACUAGUUCUACUAGGACAAGCAAUAAAACACAUGUGAGUUAGUAGGUGUGGAAUAUAUCAGAGCAUUUCUAGCUGAUCUCCCAUAUUUCGAUGCGUAAAAACGUGUUAGCAACUUACCGCAAAUAUGUUUUGCGGUAUCAAUUUUACCCAGACAGAACGUAUGCCUUAAACUUGGCCCGUGAACUAGUUUACGGGAUCUAUUCCGCC